Molecule: non-coding RNA, 23 nt
Filed under: Arabidopsis thaliana (thale cress)
Lineage: Eukaryota; Viridiplantae; Streptophyta; Magnoliopsida; Brassicales; Brassicaceae
Source: RNAcentral
UAUCUCCUGGUCCGCAAAACGCC